Molecule: RNA transcript, 755 nt
Organism: Pongo pygmaeus (Bornean orangutan)
Lineage: Eukaryota; Metazoa; Chordata; Mammalia; Primates; Hominidae
Exons: 3
Source: RefSeq, a predicted model, not a curated record
GUUUUUCCAGCGUUCUUGGGAGGUGGGCUGUGCCACUGUCUGGCCCACCUGGCCCACCAUUAUCUGAAGGGAAGCAUGAACAGCCUUUGACGUGGGAGUGGCGACUACUGAGAGGGAACCGUCUGUACACAAGCAAUGUAGCCUUAUGAGACCCGAGUGGAGCCCCAACCCACGCAGGGUGUGUCUUCAUGGCUUUUCCUGGCCAGUCUGAUACCAAGAUGCAGUGGCCAGAAGUGCCUGCACUUCCGCUCCUGUCAAGUCUCCGCAUGGCUGUGGUGAGGAAGAGCUCUGCACUGGGCAAGGAAGUUGGCCGUCGAGUGAAGGAAAUGGUGAUGCUGGCGGCCCCUUUCCUGCAGUCAAGUUCCCUAUCAAGGACAUUCAGUUCUCGGAAAGUGUUGAGGGCACACGCUUCCCUGCAUGGUGCCCGCUUCUCUCCAUUCUCUAGAAAUAUUAGAGGCUAGGCUGCUGCUGUAUGUCAGGGCUAGUCCCUCUUUUAUGAAUCCAGAAUAACUCUGAAGGAGCCCAGUAAAAGGCAUGAAGUGAAGAGAAAUCGCUGUAACAGGAAGACAGCAAAGCAGAUGCUAAUGACUACACUAUUUAACGAACUGGAACCAACAAGAAAAUACGGUAUUACUGAAGACUGCACUUCCUUGAACAGAGUGCUCUUCUCAGCAAAUCGGAAAUGCCUACACAAAUUGCUUUACAAGAAAGACUAUUUCAAAACAGCACCUUUCUCAAUGUUCUCAUUCAGGUGA